RNAcentral lists this ribosomal RNA (496 nucleotides) under uncultured bacterium. RNAcentral's name for it is "partial 16S ribosomal RNA". It matches the Rfam family "Bacterial small subunit ribosomal RNA", at positions 28 to 507 of the family's 1533-position model. The record is from RNAcentral.
GAUGAACGCUGGCGGCGUGCCUAAUACAUGCAAGUCGAGCGAACAGACGAGGAGCUUGCUCCUCUGACGUUAGCGGCGGACGGGUGAGUAACACGUGGAUAACCUACCUAUAAGACUGGGAUAACUUCGGGAAACCGGAGCUAAUACCGGAUAAUAUAUUGAACCGCAUGGUUCAAUAGUGAAAGACGGUUUUGCUGUCACUUUAGAUGGAUCCGCGCCGCAUUAGCUAGUUGGUAAGGUAACGGCUUACCAAGGCGACGAUGCGUAGCCGACCUGAGAGGGUGAUCGGCCACCCUGGAACUGAGACACGGUCCAGACUCCUACGGUAGGCAGCAGUAGGGAAUCUUCCGCAAUGGGCGAAAGCCUGACGGAGCAACGCCGCGUGAGUGAUGAAGGUCUUCGGAUCGUAAAACUCUGUUAUUAGGGAAGAACAAAUGUGUAAGUAACUAUGCACGUCUUGACGGUACCUAAUCAGAAAGCCACGGCUAACUACGUG